RNAcentral lists this ribosomal RNA (477 nucleotides) under Candidatus Brocadia fulgida. RNAcentral describes it as "bacterial SSU rRNA". It matches the Rfam family "Bacterial small subunit ribosomal RNA", at positions 365 to 832 of the family's 1533-position model. Lineage: Bacteria; Pseudomonadati; Planctomycetota; Candidatus Brocadiia; Candidatus Brocadiales; Candidatus Brocadiaceae. The record is from RNAcentral.
UUCGCAAUGCCCGAAAGGGUGACGAAGCGACGCCGCGUGCGGGAAGAAGGCCUUCGGGUUGUAAACCGCUGUCGGGAGUUAAGAAAUGCAAGGGUGUUAACAGCACCCUUGCUUGACUAAGGCUCCGGAGGAAGCCACGGCUAACUCUGUGCCAGCAGCCGCGGUAAUACAGAGGCGGCAAGCGUUGUUCGGAAUUAUUGGGCGUAAAGAGCACGUAGGCGGCUGUGUAAGUCGGUUGUGAAAGCCUUCCGCUCAACGGGAGAACGGCAUCCGAUACUGCAUGGCUUGAGUGCGGGAGGGGAGAGUGGAACUUCUGGUGGAGCGGUGAAAUGCGUAGAUAUCAGAAGGAACACCGGCGGCGAAGGCGACUCUCUGGCCCGUAACUGACGCUGAGUGUGCGAAAGCUAGGGGAGCAAACGGGAUUAGAUACCCCGGUAGUCCUAGCCGUAAACGAUGGGCACUAAGUAGAGGGGUUUU